UUUCCGUAGGUGAACCUGCGGAAGGAUCAUUCAUAAUAAAGUGUUUUAUGGCACUUUUUAAAAAUCCAUAUCCACCUUGUGUGCAAUGUUAGAUCUCGUCAAUCUUGGCGAGAUUUUUAUACAUCAACUCAUUCUUUAACUAAUUUGUCUGAAAAAUAUUAUGAAUACUUAAUUCAAAAUACAACUUUCAACAACGGAUCUCUUGGCUCUCGCAUCGAUGAAGAAAGC
RNAcentral lists this unclassified non-coding RNA (228 nucleotides) under plant metagenome. RNAcentral's name for it is "partial contains small subunit ribosomal RNA, internal transcribed spacer 1, and 5.8S ribosomal RNA". The stretch from base 183 to 228 matches the Rfam family "5.8S ribosomal RNA", at positions 1 to 46 of the family's 154-position model. The record is from RNAcentral.